This 1473-nucleotide ribosomal RNA is filed under the name uncultured prokaryote. Its description in RNAcentral is "partial 16S ribosomal RNA". It matches the Rfam family "Bacterial small subunit ribosomal RNA". The record is from RNAcentral.
AGAGUUUGAUCCUGGCUCAGAAUGAACGCUGGCGGCGUGCCUAAGACAUGCAAGUCGUACGUGAAAGUAGCAAUAUGAGUACAGUGGCGCACGGGUGAGUAAUAAUUGGAUAAUGCGCCUCCUCGCUGGGGAUAACCAGGCGAAAGCUUGGCUAAUACCGAAUAGUUCGGUCGAAACGUAGGUUUUGAUCGAUAAAGCCGUAAGGCGCGGGGAGAGUAGUCCAAAUCUCAUUAGCUUGUUGGUGGGGUAAAAGCCUACCAAGGCGACGAUGGGUAGCUGGUCUGAGAGGAUGAUCAGCCACACUGGUACUGGAACACGGACCAGACUCCUACGGGAGGCAGCAGCUGGGAAUUUUGCGCAAUGGGGGAAACCCUGACGCAGUAACGCCGCGUGAGUGAGGAAGGCCUUCGGGUUGUAAAGCUCUUUCAGUAGGGAAGAAACAAAUGACGGUACCUACAGAAGAAGCACCGGCUAACUCCGUGCCAGCAGCCGCGGUAAUACGGAGGGUGCAAGCGUUAUUCGGAUUUACUGGGCGUAAAGAGCGUGUAGGCGGUUUAGUUAGUCCGAUGUGAAAGCCCCUGACUCAAUCAGGGAAGUGCAUUGGAUACUGCUAGGCUUGAGUGCAGGAGAGGAGAGCGGAAUUCCUGGUGUAGAGGUGAAAUUCGUAGAUAUCAGGAGGAACAACAGCGGCGAAGGCGGCUCUCUGGAUUGUAACUGACGCUGAGGCGCGAAAGCGUGGGGAGCAAACAGGAUUAGAUACCCUGGUAGUCCACGCCGUAAACGAUGGACACUAAAUGUCGGAAGUUCUUACCCUUCCGGUGUCGUCGCUAAUGCAUUAAGCUUCCCGCCUGGGGAGUACGGCCGCAAGGUUAAAACUCAAAGAAAUUGACGGGGGCCCGCACAAGCGGUGGAGGAUGUUGUUUAAUUCGAUGAUACGCGAAAAACCUUACCUGGGCUUGACAUCCUGGGCUAUCCGGUGAAAGUCGGAGUUCCCUUCGGGGACGCCAAGACAGGUGCUGCAUGGCUGUCGUCAGCUCGAGUCGUGAGAUGUUUGGUUAAGUCCAGCAACGAGCGCAACCCCUGUGAAUAGUUGCCAGCACGUCAUGGUGGACUCUAAUGGGACCGCUUGCCGAUAACGGGGAGGAAGGUGGGGACGACGUCAAGUCAGUAUGGCCCUUACGGCCAGGGCUGCACACGUACUACAAUGCCCGAAACAGAAGGAUCCGAGACCGCGAGGUGGAGGAAAUCACGAAAUUCGGGCCCAGUUCGGAUUGGAGGCUGCAACUCGCCUCCAUGAAGCCGGAAUCGCUAGUAAUGGCGCAUCAGCUACGGCGCCGUGAAUACGUUCCCGGGUCUUGUACACACCGCCCGUCACAUCAUGGGAGUCGUUUGUACCCGAAGUGCGCGCGCCAACCGCAAGGAGGCAGCGCCCUAAGGUAUGAGCGGUAACUGGGAUGAAGUCGUAACAAGGUA